Molecule: long non-coding RNA, 440 nt
Filed under: Setaria viridis
Lineage: Eukaryota; Viridiplantae; Streptophyta; Magnoliopsida; Poales; Poaceae
Description: long non-coding RNA (SVIR_LNC010074)
Source: RNAcentral
AGUUUUUCCGGUUUCUGAAGCUCGUGGGGGUCGGUUUCAAAGCGAGGUCAGAGAGCCAAGGCCGUGAGCUGUUCCUGAAACUGGGGUACAGUCACGAGGUGCAGUUUACCACGCCGCCCGCCGUCCGUGUCUUCUGCUUCAAACCCAACGUAAUCUGUUGCACCGGCAUUGACAAGGACAGGGUGCACCAGUUCGCUGGUGCGGUCCGGAACUGCAAGCCCCCAGAGGUGUACAAGGGGAAGGGCAUACUCUACCUCGAUGAGGUCAUCAAGCUGAAGCCCGGGAAGAAGCAAAAGAAGUGAUGGCUGAAAGGUGUUAGAACUUUAUAUUUGGUUUUUGACCUCUUGAGAUCGAUUCUGCUGUGCGGGUUUGAUUUGAUUUCUUGUGCUAGGCAGAUCAGCAUUGUCCCAGACUUACAUCAGUGUCAGGCAAUGCAAUGU